GGUCAGAAGCCGCUCGGUCUCUGUGGGAAUAGGAGAGGGCACUGGGGUGAGGCCUGGGCAACUCCCCUUUUCCCCUUUCUCCAACCAGGAAGGCAGCACACGCCCUAUCUUCAUGUCCCCAUGCUCCUGCCAAGGAAGAGCUCUGAGAGGUCUAAAGAAAACCAGAAAACCUGUGACAUUGUAGGUAUCUAUGCACCCGUCCUGCUCAGAGGUUAUGAGUUUGGGUUUGGGAGGUACAGGGCCUGGGCUGAUUCCUGCCCCUCCUGCUCACCAGCUCUCUGAGCCUCAGUUUCCUCAUCUGCGAAAUGGGGCAAUAAUAUGUCUCAUGGGAACGCUAAGGACUGGAUGCUUAUGAAGCAUUGAUCACAGGGGCUGGUCCAUGGUGAAUGUCAGAACAUUUCAUCAAUGUUCCCGUUAUUGAUCAGUGGGGAGAGAAUGAACUGCUCCCACUGGCUUUUCACUGGGCGUUCAAGCCUGCUGGGCUUAUCCCAACUCCAGCUUCCAGACAUGAGCAUAGAACUCAGCCUGUAUUCUAGGUUUGUCUGGACAAAUACCCAAAAGAUGACCUCUGGGUUCAUUAUAACCUGGCCCAUCAGCUGACACUCUCAGAAGCCAAGGACCUGGAGAAGAGGAGGGGAAGCCUGGGAGUCUCACGUGCGGGUUGGAGAAGCUGGUGCCCGCUGUCUGAGUUCCAGACGAAGUUGAGCAAUCGGAACCUAGGCUCCCAGUGGGAAUCCCAGGAACCUCGCCGCCCCAGAGGGAGAAGCUGGCGGCCCGGCGCGAUCCCUGCCUGAGUUUGGGAACCCAGCAGAGCCUGGGUUCAGGAGGAAGAAUUGGAGAGGCUGGUGCCCACCCGCCGCCCAAGUUCUAGGAGCCGUCUGCCCUUUUCUCCACCGUGAAAAGUCAGCGCUGGAGCUUAGAAAAAAAGAGACUAGGAGCUCCGCCGCCCCAGAGCCCACAGCAGAUCUGAGAGAUUGGAGAUAACUUCAAUUGGAUUAUGCCCCUGGUUCCUUAUCCUGACACUUCCUGGAUGAUCCCAUUACAAAUACAUGUGAUGACAUCUGUUGUUUCUUUG
This 1075-nucleotide long non-coding RNA is filed under the name Homo sapiens (human). RNAcentral's name for it is "HSALNT0395955". The record is from RNAcentral. Lineage: Eukaryota; Metazoa; Chordata; Mammalia; Primates; Hominidae.